UCUUUCCUCCCGAGCUGCUGGCCUCAUUGGAAAGAGGAGUGGUGGUAUGAGUUGAGUAACACGUGGGUAACCUACCCAUCAGAGGGGGAUAACACUUGGAAACAGGUGCUAAUACCGCAUAACAGUUUAUGCCGCAUGGCAUAAGAGUGAAAGGCGCUUUCGGGUGUCGCUGAUGGAUGGACCCGCGGUGCAUUAGCUAGUUGGUGAGGUAACGGCUCACCAAGGCCACGAUGCAUAGCCGACCUGAGAGGGUGAUCGGCCACACUGGGACUGAGACACGGCCCAGACUCCUACGGGAGGCAGCAGUAGGGAAUCUUCGGCAAUGGACGAAAGUCUGACCGAGCAACGCCGCGUGAGUGAAGAAGGUUUUCGGAUCGUAAAACUCUGUUGUUAGAGAAGAACAAGGACGUUAGUAACUGAACGUCCCCUGACGGUAUCUAACCAGAAAGCCACGGCUAACUACGUGCCAGCAGCCGCGGUAAUACGUAGGUGGCAAGCGUUGUCCGGAUUUAUUGGGCGUAAAGCGAGCGCAGGCGGUUUCUUAAGUCUGAUGUGAAAGCCCCCGGCUCAACCGGGGAGGGUCAUUGGAAACUGGGAGACUUGAGUGCAGAAGAGGAGAGUGGAAUUCCAUGUGUGGCGGUGAAAUGCGUAGAUAUAUGGAGGAACACCAGUGGCGAAGCGGCUCUCUGGUCUGUAACUGACGCUGAGGCUCGAAAGCGUGGGGGAGCAAACGGGAUUAGAUACCCUGGUAGUCCACGCCGUAAACGAUGAGUGCUAAGUGUUGGAGGGUUUCCGCCCUUCAGUGCUGCAGCAAACGCAUUAAGCACUCCGCCUGGGG
Molecule: ribosomal RNA, 838 nt
Filed under: Enterococcus faecalis
Lineage: Bacteria; Bacillati; Bacillota; Bacilli; Lactobacillales; Enterococcaceae
Description: bacterial SSU rRNA
Rfam family: Bacterial small subunit ribosomal RNA
Source: RNAcentral